This 935-nucleotide ribosomal RNA is filed under the name uncultured Ascomycota. Its description in RNAcentral is "SSU rRNA". It matches the Rfam family "Eukaryotic small subunit ribosomal RNA", at positions 46 to 988 of the family's 1831-position model. The record is from RNAcentral. Lineage: Eukaryota; Fungi; Ascomycota.
AACCCCUGGCAUGGUCUAGUAUAAGCACUCUUUUACUGUGAAACUGCGAAUGGCUCAUUAAAUCAGUUAUCGUUUAUUUGAUAGUACCCUACUACAUGGAUACCUGUGGUAAUUCUAGAGCUAAUACAUGCGCAAAACCCCGACUUCGGAAGGGGUGUAUUUAUUAGAUAAAAAACCAAUGCCCUUCGGGGCUCCUUGGUGAUUCAUAAUAACUUCACGAAUCGCAUGGCCUUGCGCCGGCGAUGGUUCAUUCAAAUUUCUGCCCUAUCAACUUUCGAUGGUAGGAUAGUGGCCUACCAUGGUGGCAACGGGUAACGGGGAAUUAGGGUUCGAUUCCGGAGAGGGAGCCUGAGAAACGGCUACCACAUCCAAGGAAGGCAGCAGGCGCGCAAAUUACCCAAUCCCGAUACGGGGAGGUAGUGACAAUAAAUACUGAUACAGGGCUCUUUUGGGUCUUGUAAUUGGAAUGAGAACAAUCUAAAUCCCUUAACGAGGAACAAUUGGAGGGCAAGUCUGGUGCCAGCAGCCGCGGUAAUUCCAGCUCCAAUAGCGUAUAUUAGAGUUGUUGCAGUUAAAAAGCUCGUAGUUGAACCUUGGGCCCGUCCUGCCGGUCCGCCUCACCGCGAGUACUGGUCCGGAUGGGCCUUUCUUUCUGGGGAAUCCCAUGGCCUUCACUGGCUGUGGCGGGGAACCAGGACUUUUACUGUGAAAAAAUUAGAGUGUUCAAAGCAGGCCUUUGCUCGGAUACAUUAGCAUGGAAUAAUAGAAUAGGACGUGCGGUUCUAUUUUGUUGGUUUCUAGGACCGCCGUAAUGAUUAAUAGGGAUAGUCGGGGGCGUCAGUAUUCAGCUGUCAGAGGUGAAAUUCUUGGAUUUGCUGAAGACUAACUACUGCGAAAGCAUUCGCCAAGGAUGUUUUCAUUAAUCAGGAACGAAG